CCUACGGGUGGCAGCAGUGGGGAAUAUUGCGCAAUGGGGGCAACCCUGAUGCAGCAACGCCGCGUGAGCGAUGAAGUAUUUCGGUAUGUAAAGCUCUAUCAGCAGGGAAGAAAAUGACGGUGCCUGACUAGGAAUACGCGGCUACCUACGAACCAGCAGCCGCGGUAAUACGAAGGGGGCAAGCGUUAUCCGGCUUUACUGGGUGGAAGGGGAGCGUAGACGGUGGGGCAAGUCAGAUGUGAAAGCCCGGGGCUCAACCCCGGGACUGCAUUUGGAACUGUAAGUCUAGAGUGCUGGAGAGGCAGGCGGAAUUCCGAGUGUAGCGGUGAAAUGCGUAGAUAUUCGGAGGAACACCAGUGGCGAAGGCGGACUGCUGGACGGUGACUGACGUUGAGGCUCGAAAGCGUGGGGAGCAAACAGGAUUAGAUACCCCAGUAGUC
RNAcentral lists this ribosomal RNA (440 nucleotides) under uncultured bacterium. Its description in RNAcentral is "partial 16S ribosomal RNA". It matches the Rfam family "Bacterial small subunit ribosomal RNA", at positions 338 to 795 of the family's 1533-position model. The record is from RNAcentral.